CAGCAGCCGCGGGAAUACGAAGGGUGCAAGCGUUACUCGGAAUUACUGGGCGUAAAGCGUGCGUAGGUGGUGGUUUAAGUCCGUUGUGAAAGCCCUGGGCUCAACCUGGGAAUUGCAGUGGAUACUGGGUCACUAGAGUGUGGUAGAGGAUAGUGGAAUUUCCGGUGUAGCAGUGAAAUGCGUAGAGAUCGGAAGGAACAUCUGUGGCGAAGGCGACUAUCUGGGCCAACACUGACACUGAGGCACGAAAGCGUGGGGAGCAAACAGGAUUAGAUACCCCAGUAGUCCCUGUCUCUUAUAC
RNAcentral lists this ribosomal RNA (301 nucleotides) under uncultured bacterium. RNAcentral's name for it is "partial 16S ribosomal RNA". It matches the Rfam family "Bacterial small subunit ribosomal RNA", at positions 509 to 807 of the family's 1533-position model. The record is from RNAcentral.